Molecule: long non-coding RNA, 223 nt
Filed under: Homo sapiens (human)
Lineage: Eukaryota; Metazoa; Chordata; Mammalia; Primates; Hominidae
Description: PREDICTED lncRNA (TCONS_00049728)
Source: RNAcentral
CUGAGACGCCUGCUGAUUCCGGACUUCCCAGCUUCCCGUCAGCACCCCUAGCCUCUCUGGGAUCUGUGCUCAGAAAAUCAAUUUGGAAUGAGGCUAAGAAGGCAAUUCUUUAAAGCCCAGGAAGGCAUUGGCAGGACAGAGAAUCUGAAACAAACAAAGCCUUGGUAAGUUUAUCAUCAGUCAAGACACUCAGGACUUGUUCAUAAGUGGGUUACAAAGCAAA